RNAcentral lists this long non-coding RNA (236 nucleotides) under Physcomitrium patens. RNAcentral's name for it is "long non-coding RNA (PPAT_LNC006862)". The record is from RNAcentral. Lineage: Eukaryota; Viridiplantae; Streptophyta; Bryopsida; Funariales; Funariaceae.
UUAUUAUUUAUUAUCUAAACGAUAUCUUGAUGUAUUCUAAAAAUACAAAAGAAUAUGAACUUCAUAUUUUUUGUAUGUUACAAAAAUUAAAAGAUCUAAGACUCUAUGUCAAGAUAGAAAAGUGUGUAUAUCCAUACUAUUCAAGUUGACUUCUAAGUUUAUAUCAUUUCAAACAAUGGACUACUGAUAGAUCCUAAGAAAAUUUAAACUAUUAUAGAUUUGAAGAUCCCAAAAAU